RNAcentral lists this ribosomal RNA (625 nucleotides) under Trichoderma atroviride. RNAcentral's name for it is "eukaryotic LSU rRNA". The stretch from base 243 to 396 matches the Rfam family "5.8S ribosomal RNA". The record is from RNAcentral. Lineage: Eukaryota; Fungi; Ascomycota; Sordariomycetes; Hypocreales; Hypocreaceae.
UUUGGAAGUAAAANUCGUAACAAGGUCUCCGUUGGUGAACCAGCGGAGGGAUCAUUACCGAGUUUACAACUCCCAAACCCAAUGUGAACCAUACCAAACUGUUGCCUCGGCGGGGUCACGCCCCGGGUGCGUCGCAGCCCCGGAACCAGGCGCCCGCCGGAGGGACCAACCAAACUCUUUUCUGUAGUCCCCUCGCGGACGUUAUUUCUUACAGCUCUGAGCAAAAAUUCAAAAUGAAUCAAAACUUUCAACAACGGAUCUCUUGGUUCUGGCAUCGAUGAAGAACGCAGCGAAAUGCGAUAAGUAAUGUGAAUUGCAGAAUUCAGUGAAUCAUCGAAUCUUUGAACGCACAUUGCGCCCGCCAGUAUUCUGGCGGGCAUGCCUGUCCGAGCGUCAUUUCAACCCUCGAACCCCUCCGGGGGGUCGGCGUUGGGGACCUCGGGAGCCCCUAAGACGGGAUCCCGGCCCCGAAAUACAGUGGCGGUCUCGCCGCAGCCUCUCCUGCGCAGUAGUUUGCACAACUCGCACCGGGAGCGCGGCGCGUCCACGUCCGUAAAACACCCAACUUCUGAAAUGUUGACCUCGGAUCAGGUAGGAAUACCCGCUGAACUUAAGCAUAUCAAUA